Molecule: ribosomal RNA, 467 nt
Filed under: uncultured bacterium
Lineage: Bacteria
Description: partial 16S ribosomal RNA
Rfam family: Bacterial small subunit ribosomal RNA
Source: RNAcentral
ACGAACGCUGGCGGCGUGCUUAACACAUGCAAGUCGAACGGAAAGGCCCUGCUUUUGUGGGGUGCUCGAGUGGCGAACGGGUGAGUAACACGUGAGUAACCUGCCCUUGACUUUGGGAUAACUUCAGGAAACUGGGGCUAAUACCGGAUAGGAGCUCCUGCUGCAUGGUGGGGGUUGGAAAGUUUCGGCGGUUGGGGAUGGACUCGCGGCUUAUCAGCUUGUUGGUGGGGUAGUGGCUUACCAAGGCUUUGACGGGUAGCCGGCCUGAGAGGGUGACCGGCCACAUUGGGACUGAGAUACGGCCCAGACUCCUACGGGAGGCAGCAGUGGGGAAUAUUGCACAAUGAGCGGAAGCCUGAUGCAGCAACGCCGCGUGCGGGAUGACGGCCUUCGGGUUGUAAACCGCUUUCGCCUGUGACGAAGCGUGAGUGACGGUAAUGGGUAAAGAAGCACCGGCUAACUACGUG